This 292-nucleotide ribosomal RNA is filed under the name uncultured bacterium. Its description in RNAcentral is "partial 16S ribosomal RNA". It matches the Rfam family "Bacterial small subunit ribosomal RNA", at positions 505 to 796 of the family's 1533-position model. The record is from RNAcentral.
GUGUCAGCCGCCGCGGUAAUACAGGGGGGGCAAGCGUUGUUCGGAAUUACUGGGCGUAAAGGGCUCGUAGGCGGCCAACUAAGUCCGACGUGAAAUCCCAAAGCUUAACUUUGGAACUGCGUCGGAUACUGGAUGGCUUGAAUUCGGGAGAGGGAUGCAGAAUUCCAGGUGUAGCGGUGAAAUGCGUAGAUAUCUGGAGGAAUACCGGUGGCGAAGGCGGCAUCCUGGACCGACAUUGACGCUGAGGAGCGAAAGCUAGGGGAGCAAACGGGAUUAGAAACCCCCGUAGUCC